GUAUCUAGUUUCUUAAGUGUCGUGUAGUUCUGUGAUGCUCCUGCGUCUAAUUCAAGCAACGUGGAACUCAGUUAGUUGUUUGAUGCUUGACUUCAUAUGAAUUUGAAGUCAAGAACCUGCUUCUGGUGCAUGGCGUUAGAUAUCUUGUCGGUUGUUGCAACUUUACAGUUAAAUAUGGCUGCACAUUCUUGGGAACAUGGAACUUGUUUCUGCAUCUUGUAUUAGUGAUUUGCUGCCAAAUGUGACUCUAUACUCCUAAAAUUGGAUAUUUGAAAUAUGAGGCAAUUUUAGCUUUCAACUCUCUGGUGCCUAGAGUAAUUGUAUUGAACCUCCUUAAAAUCUAGCAUGGAUGGAGAUAUAACCUUUCCAAUUAUGUGAUGGUAGCUUUGGAAGUUAGAAUCUAUUAGGAUUGC
Molecule: unclassified non-coding RNA, 413 nt
Filed under: Hevea brasiliensis (rubber tree)
Lineage: Eukaryota; Viridiplantae; Streptophyta; Magnoliopsida; Malpighiales; Euphorbiaceae
Source: RNAcentral